GACGUCUUUUCAGAACAACAUAUCUGCGCUUUAUUCGAGCACCGAAACAGUGCUUCGUUUUAUUUGCCAGUGUCUGUGCGCAGCAUGUGCAUAACGAUGCUCAGAACAGGCUAGCCUACCAGUGAAUAUACGGCCCGCAGACAGAACAGGCAGGUUGUCGAUGAGUGACAGAGCAGAAUAAAGAUGGAGCAGAGUGUGGAUGCGCUGUCCUUGAAGAGCGCUCAACUCGGUUUUGUUUAUAUUUUGCUUAGCCUAUCAUUUUAAAUGACAGAUGUCGAAUUUAUUUAUUUAUUUUUCUUCCGCGACACUUGUCCUAGGCUAGCUACUGUGUUUACAGCAAGAUGUUAAACGAAUUUAGUAUUUUGACAAGACGAAUAAAAUUAUAAUAGGCCAUUUUUGUACAACCUACAUUUUUUUUUUCUCUGCGACACUUGUUCCUAUUGUGUUGUAAAGGUUAAACGAAUUGUAUCCUGACAAGACGAAUAAAAAUAAGGAAUACCAUUUUUGUACAUUUUUAUUUUCUCUGUGACACUUUUUUUUCCUACUGUGUUGGCAGCAAAAUGUUAAACGAAUUUGUGCACACUACACGUUUAUAUGUUAGCCUAUCUGUCUUUCUUUCAGUAGAGGAAAUUUAAAUGUGUGAUUCUGGAAACGAGAUCUAAAUUUAGCGGGAACGGUCGGGUCGGGAAGAAAAUUAUUCAAAGCGGACAGCGGGUGAACAAAGAGUAAAUAUAUCGCGGGUGCGGGAUAUAACCUCGCGGGAGCGGAUCUAAAAACCAGUCCCGCGCAGACCUCUAGCUCGAACUGACCGGCGUCCUUUGGGUUGUUAUGACAACGACGCUGCUUAGAGCCGCACUGUUUCGCGUUUCAUUUACACUGAAUCAAAACAGCGUUGCGUCGCCUUUGAUACUAGGGACUGAGGUGAACUUCUGUUAUUAUUUUUAGCGCGUGAACGGGACUUUUAUUUUGGUGUGGUGACGUCAUAAGGCUGCGCCGCGCUCCUGCAUCCGUGUUUCUGCUGGAGAAAGAAAAACUCCUGCUGAAGCACACUGUUAUAAAGAUGGCGUUUAUUAAAGAGGAAAGUGAAGACAUAAAGAUUGAAGAAGCUUUUACUGUCAAAAAUGAAGAUACCGAGGAACAACAAACAGAGAUGAUGUUUAUUAUAGACGAGAGUGGAGAGGUGAUAGAAGAUACUCAGCAACAAACAGAGAUGAUGUUUAUUAUAGAGGAGACGAUUGAAGUCAAACAAGAAGAUACUGAGGAACAAAGAGAGAUUAAGUUUAUUAAAGAGGAGAGCGAAGACGUGAAGAAUGAAGUCAAACAAGAAGAUACUGAGGAACAAACAGAGAUUAAGUUUAUUAAAGAGGAGAGCGAAGACGUGAAGAAUGAAGUCAAACAUGAAGAUACUGAGGAACAAACAGGUCGGUUUCAUCAGUCAUUCUGUGGCAUGAAUCUCUUUAUCUCGCACAUUAAAUGAUGAUAAACAGUAAAUAGCCAAAACUAAGUAUUUUGUGUAACAUUAAGCCUAGUAUGUACUUAAAAACAAUGAAAACCAUUCAUUUCUAUCACUUUGCAACAGUAUCUGGGUCAACGACGUGACGCAAAUAUUUUUUGUGUCCAUAUGGUUUAAUUAAAUUUAAAAGGGUUAAAAUUUCAAAAUAAAUGUGCAAAUUAAUUGCAUACAUUCUCUUUUUUGUGAAGUCUACAAUUUCUGGUUUUAAUUCAUUUUGAGAGAAUAUUUGGGGGAUGAUUGAAAAAAUGUCAAUGUGGUGUAACCGUAAAAACCUUAUACCAAAAAAUGGAUCUUGUUUAAAAAAGGUGAAAUUAUCAAUAAAACACCAGAUCAGCUAGUUUGGCAUAAUCGUACAUUAGCACUAUUUAAUAGUAAGUAAAAGUAAAUGGAGCACCAUUGUUCUGAAUAUUAUGAUUAAUUUGGGGAAUUCCUUGAGUGUCAAGGUGGUGUAACCACCAUUCAAGGAGCCGUUUUGUUAAUAUUUUGCAAGGUCAUGUGACAGGAAAUUAUAUCACAGAGAAGGACCUCUGGUGAUACUAACUGCUGCAUGCAAAGUAGAGACCUGCGCGGGACAGAUUUUUCAGUCCCGCUCCCGCAAGAUUCUGUCCCGUGCCCGCAGAAAUUUAUCUUAUCUGGUCCCGCUCCCAACCGCGACAUUCAUGUUUUGUCCUGCUCCCGCCCACAUGAAAGUAAUCUAUAUAGAUUUUUUUUUCUGUACAUCGAAGAUAUGUACAUGAAAUGGUUCUAUAACAUCUCCUAAGCUCCACAACAUCCAAGCAUAAAAGCUCCCAAUAAAAUAUUUGUUAUUUAGGCUCAGCAUCAACAUUCACA
Molecule: long non-coding RNA, 2344 nt
Organism: Onychostoma macrolepis
Lineage: Eukaryota; Metazoa; Chordata; Actinopteri; Cypriniformes; Cyprinidae
Exons: 3
Source: RefSeq, a predicted model, not a curated record